GUUCAGUGAACUCAUUCUCUAUUGAGCACCUACGUACUUGUCUUGAUGUCACACACACCAAUGGCUCGAGACUAGUCACUCUCCCUGAGAGAAGACACAGCACGUACUGAUCUUAACGAACUGUCAAUGCCCAAUUGGCAAUCCUAUGAUCACGAAUGUUUAGGAUGUGUCUACGAAAGAAUGGUCUCAUGAAUCUAACUUCUUUAGAUUGCAUUCUCCCAAUCACAUAUUCCUUGGACUUAUCGUUUAAGCAUAUAACAUUUAUAUGAGACAGCUUAAACAAUAAUCUUUGCCCUUGAUAUUAAACUAGAUUAGUUUAACAUGUGAAAUGUCCGUAAAGUAUCAUCAUAUGAUUGGUUUUAGGGCACAUUUCCAACAUAUGAAUGCACAAUAAGGGAUCUCUAACCUUUCAUGAUGGAAGGAGAAUACUCUAAGAUAUGAUUCAUGAGUCUUUGGCCAAAGCAUAUGAAUAUGACUUAGGAAGUUUGUUCCAAAUCAUAUUCAAUUGAAUCAUAUAAAGAAGUAUCACAUUGGAUAGUAGAAAUGAAACAAACUAUCACUCAAACAAUGUGAUUAACAAUAUUGUAUUAGAGAAUGAUUGUAUUGCAUUGUAAUUGUAACUGGAUAGGUUCUCCAACCACUUCUACUUAGCUUGGGUAGCCAUGACAUACUGUUAGGUGUCACUCAUGGUUUGUGGAAGCCCUGAAGAUUAGCAAACACUAAUCUUCAACAAAGGAAGAAUUGAAAUGUUUUUUCAAUUCACAAUCGAUCGUUAAGAGUAACAAUCGCCUACUGCCUCGCUAAUUGGAACCAAAUGGAUCAUACACCGAGUAAGGAUGAAAGUGAAGAAAUAUAAAUGAGAUGGAUAAGUGAUUAAAUGGUUUAAUUGAGAAUGGUCAAGAUUAAUUAAUUAGUUAAUUAAUUUUACGAAAGGUUUGUAUUGGGCUUUUAAGUUGGUUUUGGGUUUCGGGGCCCAAAAGUGUUUUGGUCCACAAGGCCCAUUAUCUUUAAGUUGUAUGACAACUAAAACAAAAUGGGCAAUUAGCC
RNAcentral lists this long non-coding RNA (1047 nucleotides) under Malus domestica (apple). RNAcentral's name for it is "long non-coding RNA (MDOM_LNC012659)". Lineage: Eukaryota; Viridiplantae; Streptophyta; Magnoliopsida; Rosales; Rosaceae. The record is from RNAcentral.